RNAcentral lists this unclassified non-coding RNA (168 nucleotides) under uncultured fungus. RNAcentral describes it as "sequence contains ITS1". The record is from RNAcentral. Lineage: Eukaryota; Fungi.
UUAAUUUAUUUAAUUUUGAUUCAGAAGACACAUUUAAUAAUGAGUUUGAGAAAACUUCUGCCGGCCGAAACCGGCAAAGAAACAUGUAUAGUUAAAACAUAGGGUUGAAGUUUGGGCAUUAGAUACCCGAAACCUUUAAUGAUCCUUCCGCAGGUUCACCUACGGAAA